UAGAGUUUGAUCCUGGCUCAGAACGAACGCUGGCGGCGUGCCUAACACAUGCAAGUCGAACGGAGUGAAGGAGCUUGCUCUUUCAUUUAGUGGCGCACGGGUGAGUAACGCGUAGAUAAUCUGCCUUGGCCUCUGGGAUAACAUCUCGAAAGGGGUGCUAAUACCGGAUAAGCCCACGAUGGCGUAAGUCAUUGCGGGAAAAGGGGGCCUCUGAAUAUGCUCCUGAUUCAAGAUGAGUCUGCGUACCAUUAGCUAGUUGGUAGGGUAAGAGCCUACCAAGGCGACGAUGGUUAGCUGGUCUGAGAGGAUGAUCAGCCACACUGGAACUGAGACACGGUCCAGACUCCUACGGGAGGCAGCAGUGGGGAAUUUUGCGCAUGGGGGAAACCCUGACGCAGCAACGCCGCGUGAGUGAUGAAGGCUUUCGGGUCGUAAAGCUCUGUCUAGAGGGAAGAAAUGAUAGCCGGUUAAUACCCGGUUUUCUUGACGGUACCUCUGAAGGAAGCACCGGCUAACUCCGUGCCAGCAGCCGCGG
RNAcentral lists this ribosomal RNA (535 nucleotides) under uncultured Geobacter sp. RNAcentral describes it as "bacterial SSU rRNA". It matches the Rfam family "Bacterial small subunit ribosomal RNA", at positions 1 to 520 of the family's 1533-position model. Lineage: Bacteria; Pseudomonadati; Thermodesulfobacteriota; Desulfuromonadia; Geobacterales; Geobacteraceae. The record is from RNAcentral.